This 247-nucleotide ribosomal RNA is filed under the name uncultured bacterium. Its description in RNAcentral is "partial 16S ribosomal RNA". It matches the Rfam family "Bacterial small subunit ribosomal RNA", at positions 59 to 334 of the family's 1533-position model. The record is from RNAcentral.
AAGUCGAACGAGACCUUCGGGUCUAGUGGCGCACGGGUGCGUAACACGUGGGAAUCUGCCCAGAGGUUCGGAAUAACACAGAGAAAUUUGUGCUAAUACCGGAUGAUGUCGCAAGACCAAAGAUUUAUCGCCUUUGGAGGAGCCCGCGUAGGAUUAGGUAGUUGGUGGGGUAAAGGCUCACCAAGCCGACGAUCCUUAGCUGGUCUGAGAGGAUGAUCAGCCACACUGGGACUGAGACACGGCCCAG